Molecule: long non-coding RNA, 1800 nt
Organism: Myxocyprinus asiaticus (Chinese sucker)
Lineage: Eukaryota; Metazoa; Chordata; Actinopteri; Cypriniformes; Catostomidae
Exons: 2
Source: RefSeq, a predicted model, not a curated record
GGGACCAAGGUUCAGCGUGAAUAACAUGCAGAGACCUCGUUACGCUUUAAGUCUUUUUCAUUCACGACACUGCGUUCAUAUUUCAUACAGGACAUAGGCUAAAACAUAUAAACGGAUGCAAGUGCGCAUUUGGAAACAAUGGAUUCAAAAGCGCAAAUAAGGAUGCAACGUUACAAUUCUCCAAAGGGAGUGCGAAGUCUUUCACAUCAUGCCACUUUGUUUGAAUCCUGCUUAUGUUUUUAAUCAGUUCUGAUCUUAAUGAAAAAAAAAAAAAAAAAAAAAAAAAUGGAAAACACUAGCCUAUUUACAAUAGUCGAGAAACUUGCUUGAGGAACCCUGUCCAAGUCGCUAUAUUGAGAGCAACAUGUCGCUGUGGUUCAGAAGUCAAACGGAGGUCAGCAUUUAUAUCCCCCCGCAGCAAUCUGCGAGCAGGGGCCAGUCAUCAGUGAACCCUGCCUUCCCCACCACUGACAACCGCCUGAAAGUUACAAGACUGUCGGGACCGGGUAAAACGCACGGGAAGAAAACAGUAGGCUGUUGACUUUUUCUUCAUUUUGUCACUGGAUGUAAUGCUCUUACAACAUGCUUAAAGUGCUUGUCAAAUGUAAAGUAUAUGUUUGAAUAUUCAAAUAUUCGUUUAUCUGUUUACUCAGUGGAUUUUCUUACACAAGCUAACAAUGGACACGCUUUAGGCAAUUGGAUAGUUUAAAAUGUCAGAUAAAUAUCAGAUAAUCAUUAUUUAGUACUAAUCGGGGGGGAAGUAAAAUCCAUUCACUUAACAAAGUGGAAUGCAUAGGAUACACAAAUAAUAUACAACCGCAAGACAUAAAACUAUAGGCGCUUGUGAUAGUUCAAGUUUUCCAGAAUACGUAAACAAAUCAAAUAUGAGCGUUGCGUUCAUCAACUUAUUACUAUAACUAGUCGGAAUAUUUUAUUAUUAUUAUUAUUUUAUUAUUUGUAAAUGUUACAGGGGUGGACAAAUACAUUACUGUAGCCUGUUUAUUUACAAACAUUGGUUGGAUGCUUUGCAAUGAAGCGCUUUAUAGGCUACUUUUUAUUUAUUUAUUUGUAGACCUGAUAAAAAAAAUAAAAUAAAAAAAAAGUGUUUUUUUUUUUUUUUUUUUUUAUUCCAUUUUGAAAUUUUGUUUAGUUGUAUUUUACAUUAUUUUAUUUUGCUUUAUUAGGCCUAUAUAUUAUUUGCAACAAACUUUCUUAAUCGAGAGACUGCAGGACUUUUGCAUUUGCAGUAAUGUGAACAGACAAGGUCCAAAAGAAAAGCAUUUUUCAUAUGCAAAGUCUUUCAGUGACCUGUAUACUUGAUCAUGUGCGCCUUCUACUGGAUACAUAAAGAAUUGUCUUUCUUUGUUCCCUAAUGAGAUCCGCAGCGACUUUUCUGAAAUAUAAAAAAAGCCCAAAAUACAGGCAACACUAUAACGAAACUUAAACAUAUUUGAUCAAAUGUUCAUCACGAGUAAUUAAAUAUGACAGUUUUGUAGACUGUAUAUGUAUUAAUCCAUAUUUAAAACUACUUAAUCCAGCAUGUGUUUCAUGUAAUCAUUGAGUUGUAUCUAAUAACGUAAUAAAAUUGGCUGUUGACUUCUCUAAGUUUUCAUCUGUAAGUAUUUUCUGUUCUUCCGUAACUGGAAAAAACAAAACAAAAAACAAAACACUAUAAAUAAGUAAAACAUAAAGCACGAAUAAUUUCAAAAUUAGGAAUAAAUUAAUCGAACAUAGCGUUAGAAUUUUUGAACGCCAGCAUCAAAAUACAUAAAAAAAAAAAAAAAAAUAUAUAUAUAUAUA